UGCAGUCGAGCGGAACGAGUUAUCUGAACCUUCGGGGAACGAUAACGGCGUCGAGCGGCGGACGGGUGAGUAAUGCCUAGGAAAUUGCCCUGAUGUGGGGGAUAACCAUUGGAAACGAUGGCUAAUACCGCAUGAUGCCUACGGGCCAAAGAGGGGGACCUUCGGGCCUCUCGCGUCAGGAUAUGCCUAGGUGGGAUUAGCUAGUUGGUGAGGUAAGGGCUCACCAAGGCGACGAUCCCUAGCUGGUCUGAGAGGAUGAUCAGCCACACUGGAACUGAGACACGGUCCAGACUCCUACGGGAGGCAGCAGUGGGGAAUAUUGCACAAUGGGCGCAAGCCUGAUGCAGCCAUGCCGCGUGUGUGAAGAAGGCCUUCGGGUUGUAAAGCACUUUCAGUCGUGAGGAAGGUAGUGUAGUUAAUAGCUGCAUUAUUUGACGUUAGCGACAGAAGAAGCACCGGCUAACUCCGUGCCAGCAGCCGCGGUAAUACGGAGGGUGCGAGCGUUAAUCGGAAUUACUGGGCGUAAAGCGCAUGCAGGUGGUUUGUUAAGUCAGAUGUGAAAGCCCGGGGCUCAACCUCGGAAUUGCAUUUGAAACUGGCAGACUAGAGUACUGUAGAGGGGGGUAGAAUUUCAGGUGUAGCGGUGAAAUGCGUAGAGAUCUGAAGGAAUACCGGUGGCGAAGGCGGCCCCCUGGACAGAUACUGACACUCAGAUGCGAAAGCGUGGGGAGCAAACAGGAUUAGAUACCCUGGUAGUCCACGCCGUAAACGAUGUCUACUUGGAGGUUGUGGCCUUGAGCCGUGGCUUUCGGAGCUAACGCGUUAAGUAGACCGCCUGGGGAGUACGGUCGCAAGAUUAAAACUCAAAUGAAUUGACGGGGGCCCGCACAAGCGGUGGAGCAUGUGGUUUAAUUCGAUGCAACGCGAAGAACCUUACCUACUCUUGACAUCCAGAGAACUUUCCAGAGAUGGAUUGGUGCCUUCGGGAACUCUGAGACAGGUGCUGCAUGGCUGUCGUCAGCUCGUGUUGUGAAAUGGUUGGGUUAAGUCCCGCAACGAGCGCAACCCUUAUCCUUGUUUGCCAGCGAGUAAUGUCGGGAACUCCAGGGAGACUGCCGGUGAUAAACCGGAAGGAAAGG
This 1139-nucleotide ribosomal RNA is filed under the name Vibrio sp. RNAcentral's name for it is "bacterial SSU rRNA". It matches the Rfam family "Bacterial small subunit ribosomal RNA", at positions 56 to 1178 of the family's 1533-position model. Lineage: Bacteria; Pseudomonadati; Pseudomonadota; Gammaproteobacteria; Vibrionales; Vibrionaceae. The record is from RNAcentral.